GAUGAACGCUAGCGGCAGGCCUAACACAUGCAAGUCGAGGGGUAUAAGUCUUCGGACUUUGAGACCGGCGCACGGGUGCGUAACGCGUAUGCAAUCUACCUUGUACAGAGGGAUAGCCCAGAGAAAUUUGGAUUAAUACCUCAUAGUAUAUUUGAAUGGCAUCAUUUAAAUAUUAAAGUUCCAACGGUACAAGAUGAGCAUGCGUCCCAUUAGUUAGUUGGUGUGGUAACGGCACACCAAGACGAUGAUGGGUAGGGGUCCUGAGAGGGAGAUCCCCCACACGGGUACUGAGACACGGACCAGACGCAUAGGGGGGGAAGCGGUGAGGAAUAUUGGGCAAUGGAGGCAACUCUGAACCAGCCAUGCCGCGUGCAGGAUGACGGUCCUAUGGAUUGUAAACUGCUUUUAUACGGGAAGAAAAAGAGUUACGUGUAACUUAUUGACGGUACCGUAAGAAUAAGGAUCGGCUAACUCCGUGCCAGCCGCCGCGGUAA
RNAcentral lists this ribosomal RNA (494 nucleotides) under uncultured bacterium. RNAcentral describes it as "partial 16S ribosomal RNA". It matches the Rfam family "Bacterial small subunit ribosomal RNA", at positions 28 to 523 of the family's 1533-position model. The record is from RNAcentral.